Non-coding RNA from Callithrix jacchus (white-tufted-ear marmoset), 3685 nucleotides. NCBI's taxonomy places the organism in Eukaryota, Metazoa, Chordata, Mammalia, Primates, Cebidae. The record is from RefSeq and is a predicted model, not a curated record.
GGGACUUCCGCCGACGGGCGCUGCUAGUGCGUCACUUCCGAGAGCUCAGCCCAACGUGUCCUGCGUCCUCUAUGGCGCUUUCCGCGUCGCACAGCGCACCCACCCGGCCUGGAGCCUUAUGGAGUACGUGGGGAAUCCAAGGCACAGCAAGGCUCGAAAGCAGCCCAUGGUUGUGCAGCUAACGGAGCAGAGAGUCUUGGUCUGUCGCCCAGGCUGGAGUGCAAGUGGCACAAUCUCGGCUCACUGCAACCUCCACCUCCCAAGUUCAAGCAGUUCUCCUGCUUCAGCCUCCUGAGUAGCUGGGAUUACAGGCCCUGGCCACCACUCCUGGCUAAUAUUUUGUAUUUUUAGUGGAGAUGAGGUUUCACCAUAUUAGCCAGGCUGGUCUUGAACCCUGACCUCAAGUGAUCCACCCGCCUUGGCCUCCCAGAGUAUUGGGAUUACCGGCAUGAGCCACCUGCUUUUAACUUGUUCAGCCACAAAGGCAUAUCUGUGAAUGUACAACCAUAAUGACUCAUCGUGGGCCCAGAGCUGUAACAACAAUGGUGAAGUACCAAGCAUCCUACACCAUGUGUGUGUGUUGAUGAAAAUCAGCAUCCUUGCCUGUCAUUGUGAUUUUCUGGCUGAGUGUAGCUUCUUGGAGACAAGUGUGUGUUCUACACCACUAGGAGCAAGCUUCUCUAUGAAAACACUUCUGGCUGCCAGGCGCCGUGGCUCACACCUGUAAUCCCAGCACUUUGGGAGGCUGAGGUGGGUGGAUCACGACGAGGUCAAGAGAUCGAGACCAUCCUGAUCAACAUGGUGAAACCCUGUCUCUACUAAAAAUACAAAAAAUUAGCUGGGCAUGGUGGCACGUGCCUGUAAUCCCAGCUACUCAGGAGACUGAGGCAGGAGAAUUGCCUGAACCCAGGAGGCGGAGGUUGCAGUGAGCCGAGAUCACGCCAUUGCACUCCAGCCUGGGUAACAAGAGCGAAACUCCAUCUCAAAAAAAAAAAAAAAAAAAAGAAAACACUUCUGGGCUUCUCUGGGGAAUCCAAACUGUAAAGCUCGUUUCUGAGAAGAGUUGGAACACUGCCUGCAGCAGGAGGCACAUUGCCAGCUCUUGACUGUUAACGGAGGUAUCCAGCUACCAGAAGCCUUAGAGUGUGUACCUUGUGACAGAGAAAGGUAUGUCUAAGCUGUAGUAAAGGAUACUGUCAAGGGGACUCUGCAAAGCUUCUCACUGCAAGGUACUUCUUAGUAAAACACUUUGUUUUUCCGACUUCUUUAUUUUGUGCACUUGGUCUUUUCUGUUUUAUCUUCCCGUUGCUGUAAUUCUGAUGGAUGAAAGGUACGUCUUGCAGAACUGAACUUCCUGAAAGGAGACUUUGCAGGGGGAUUAGCCAUCAGUAGCCAUCAGGUCUUAAGAGGGUGCUUGGAGUGCUCCAUCAGGCCCAUUGGCCACUUCCUUGGAUCCCCACAGGAACUCACUCGGAACGAGUCACAUGCUACUUUGUACCUAGAUGCUUCCUUGUGUACAUUUUGUUUUCAAAAGAAGUAGCCAGCCCAUUGUGAACAGGAACUAUGUCUUACUCUUUUGCCAUCCCUCACCUCAGGCAGCACUGCCAAGAGCAUUCACAGUGACCGUGGAACUUUGGAUUGAACGUCAGCUUGAGUAAGUUCCUGAUGUAGUGGUGGCUGUAGCAGUUGGAACCUGGCUUCUGCAAUACUCAAGUAGUCCUAGUGAAUUACACUACUGUCAAACCGCCUGUGUACAACCCUGAAAUGGGUCAGAAAUCCACACUGUGCCAUAAAGAGGAAAGCUGUCCCAGACCUCCAGCUUCAUGACAGCCAGGGCCUUCUCCAGGGCAGGUUCCUCCAGCCUGAGGCACUUGGACUCUGAUCCCCUGGAAUGAGGAGAGAUGCUGAGGGCUGCGGAUUCUGUAAGGGCAGAUGCCUCAGAGGAGCCAGCAGCCAGCAAACCAGCUACCAGUCUAGCAUAUUUCAUGAUGAAGUAAAGCUGCAGCCGAGGAGCCCUUGGAGCAGGCAGGAUGACACCUCGUGAACCUACCAGGCAUGCACACCUCCAUAGCCAAGUUCUGCCUGAACCACCACCUCCUGGCACUAAUGGAGAGUGCUUCCACUGCAGGGCAAGGGGGCAUACAUAGGUCUGCGUCUGUGUGUUUUCCAGUUGUUGAAAUGAUUGGUUAUAAAUAGAAUUCACUGACGGAUGAGGAGGUGAAAGGUUUACUUACUGAAGUUUUCCUUUAAUAUGACACUGGAAACUCAAGAGAAGGGGAAUUUCACCUUCACUUAGUAAGUGGAUUUUCUCUAGCCACUGGAUUUAUACCGUGUCUGUCAUCCCAAUCCUGUGAGUCUUGUGGAGUUUUAAAUGUGGCUAGGGAACAGAUGUUAUCUUAAUUUCAUAGAGGUAUGAAUUCAACAGGGAAGUCUAAGGAAACACCCUCCUUUGCGGAAGGCAACAAUGGCAUGGGAGCCACCCUCUGGGGCAAAGGUGCAGCCUGACAGUCUGCAGAAUUACACAAUGAGUUAAAAGUGUGAGCUUCAUGUCUAAGAUAUAGCUCCACCCAUGUGAUCCUGGGAAAAUUUCUCAACUUCACCAAGCCUCUGUUUCUUCACCUGUAGAUUGGAGGUGGUAAUAAUGCGUGUGGAAUAUGGUUAGUGAAAUAAAGUACUUUUAACAUGCCUGGCACAUAGUAAGUGAGCAAAGAGAUUCUGUACUGUUACACAUUAUUAUGUAUUAUCUAUGUUAUUAGCUGCUUAUUUACAUAAUAUUUGCUAAACUUUUGUUCUAUUCAUUAAAUUCUUGUUGAACCUUAACAACUGCAAUGUAGGGAGCCUCCACCACAUGCCAGGUAAUUUGUUUUCCUUCUCAGGACAGCAUAAUGAGGUGGGCGUGGUUCUGUUUCUCAGAGAGGAAUGCUUGCUCACAGUCACACAGCUGGAGGGACACAACUGCAGGUGGGUCCAAGGCCCCUGGAAGUCCAAAGCCACUCUCCUUUUGCACUGCCGUCUAAGAGUGGCUUUGUUCUUGACCUCUUUAGAGUUAUUACCUUGUUUGGUACUUAUUUAUUUAUUUGUUUAUUUAUGAGACAAGGUCUCAUUCUGUUGCCCAGGCUGGAGUGCAAUGGUGUGAUCUUGGCUCAUUGCAACCUCCACCUCCCAGGUUUAAGCAGUUCUUGUGCCUCAGCCUCCCAUGUAGCUGGGACUACAGGUGCGUACCACAACACCAGGCUAAUUUUUGUAUUUUUUAGUAGAGGUAAGGUUUUGCCAUGUUGUCCAGGCUGGUCAUGAAUUAUUUGGUAUUUAAAUGGAGGUACAUGAUAGAUUGCACUUGGGAUCAUCAGCUAUAAAUAAUCCCCCAGGACCAAUGUUUCACUAAAGCACUGUUUGCACAUGCAGACAGAUUGUGUUUCUUCUGUGAGAAUUCCAUGUUCCUAUGCUUGGAUCAUGACAAGCAGGUGGCUUCACUGCUACCUGUGCCAAUGAACUUCUGCCCUUGCUCACGUCCAAGCUGCUGAUAAGAGGUGUUUUCAUGGGUUGAUUAUGAAUCAUUCCAUUGGCAUACUGUUAAAAACAUUCUUUGCAUUCUGCAGUUCUGUAAAGUACUUUUAGGUUUAAUGGAAAUCUUGGAAUCUCUUUUCCUAGGGAAGAUUUGUGAUAAUAAAUGUACACAUAUUUGGAA